AUCAAUUAACAAAGUAAUAAUAAUAGUAAUAACUAAAGUUGUAUAAAUAUUGGAAUAAUAAAAAUGAACAAUAAUGUUUAGAUCUCACAAUCCAUGAAGAAACUGAAACUUUAACCUAUCUCCAACUAGAACUAAAAAAGUUAGCCACACAUGACUGAAAGAAAGUAUAAAAAGAAAGAAAAAAAUUCAACAGAAGUGAAGAUGAUUGCUGCAGUCGAUAAGCAUGGUAUUUAUAGUAGUUGAACCCUAGCAGAACCCUCACUAAUCUUUCCUAAAAAACUUGAUUUGAAUAUCUUUAAUGAAAUAACUCCUUUGAUUUGUUUUCUUGAGGGGUGGAGAUUCCUUCACUUUUGGAGAGAUCAUGCCGCACUUUCUAGGGUGACAUCGCAUGGAAUUUUGCAUCUUUAAAUGAGUAGAUCUAAUUUUUUUUUCUUUUCCAAGUCAGUCGCGCUUUCUAUUAUAGACUGGCGGUUUGCCUAAAGGUUUGGGCAAGAUUUAGGUCCAAUAUUGAUUGGGUCAUUCAGCAGCUUCUACCUAGAGCCUUUGGGCAAAUUUUGACUCUGGGGGAACAGGAUCAGAAAUCGCAGGUCAAGCCUUGUCCAGCAAAUUUUCUCAGGAUGUUCGUUCAGUUAGCUAUUCUUAUGUUUUUCUGUGAAAAUAUGAAAAAAGGCAUAAGAUUAAUAAGAAAAUACUCAGAUUAGUGUUAAAGAUAUAGUAUAAUGUGUGCUAAAAUUGUGUUUUAUCAAAUACCCCUACACUUAAAUAUUUACUUGUCCUCAAUUAUAGAAUAAUUUAGACCAUCAAUAUCUUCCUUUUUGUUCCCACAUUCCACUUAAUCUACCAAUCAAGACUCCAAGAUUGAAGCAUUACAGUGUAACCAGCAUGCACCAAGAUGAUUCUUCCUAAGUUCCUUUUGCAAACCGUGGCUCAAAGGCGCUUUCCUCACAAGAGAGAGAGCUUGUUGUUAUUCAUUCAAGCAUUUAAAUUUUGGGGCAACUACAUAGCAAUUACUACACCCUGCCCUUACCAUUUCCAGUGCAUAUUUAACUGGUUUCCUGGGUACUUUUAUUUAAAGCACUUUUUCUUGCUUAAAAUUUCAUCAACCUUUUUACUCGAAGGUGCAAAUUGUGAUACCCAUCCCCGGUUACUUGGUUAGUCAUAAUUUUCAAGUGGCUACUAGCUCUGCUCAUAGUCUUAAACUAGCAUAGCAAGUUUAAUUUGUAUUGCACACCGCCAUUUUUUUUUAUUCCCUUCCAUGGUUUGAGAAAAUUUCAGCAGCAUUUACCGAGCAAGUUGCACCUAUCACAUAAUUAUAAGUUUUACUCAUCUCAAUUAUAAUUUAAGACAACCAUCUAAACCACUAUGAGCAAAAAGAGACUUCAAAAGAAGCACCCACUAUAAGUUAUACAAUCAAGGUUUCGAGAGUAAGCAAAUAAAUGAGGUCAUAAGAAUGGUGUUGAUGAUCUAAUUAUCAUGCUUUGGUGUUUGUGUGUGCAAAGAAAAAUGUGUAAAAAGUAGUAAUGGUGCAAAAAAUGCACAGCAUGUGCUAGUUACUAUGAUCCCUCAUUCCCUCACCCCCACACCUAGCCUAAACAUCCCUCAACAGAAAGAUAUAAUGAGUAAGAUAGUAACUUCCCUAGGCAUGUUGAUUUGGGCAAGCCUGUGGUGCAAUCUCAAGGCUGUUGUCCUGGUUUAGGGAAAAAUAUUAAUCAAAAGCUGUAGCAAGCCCUUCAUACGUUGCAUACAUUCGUCUAUCCUAUCUAAAUGGGCAACCAAGUGGGAUUCUGGAGAGGGGUGCAAUUUAGCAGGGUCUGUUGUAGGUGCUUUAGCAUGGUCUGCAGCAGGUUGAGGAGAGGGUGGGCGAUCCUAAUGAAACACAUGCUCGUGGCAUGGAAUAAUUAGAACUACAGGAGUCAAAAAGUAAACGACACUAACCCUACGAAGUAACCCUAUAUCAUCUAAGACACGUAAAUCUAGAGGGGUUGAUUUGCUGGCUUUGUGAAGGUCAGUAUGUUCUGGGUCAAAAAGAUGCAAAUUUAUAGCCAAAAGGGUAAUCACGGGGCCAAGGAUGAGAAGGCAGCAGAAGGAUAGGAUAUUAGAGAAUUGAGCUGCAACACAAAAUUCAAAAUUAAACUUAUGCUUAGACACCAUGAACCACAAGAAAAAUAGCUCUGUUUUGGUGAGAAUAUUAGACACAUCCUUAUGACCAAAAAAUGAGUAGGCUAAGAACCUAUGUAAAUAAGUGAGGUAGGGGUUCCGUAAAAAUAAAUCUUUGGACUUGUUUGGGCAAUAUGCAUCAGGGGGAUGGUUACAGAAAUCAGCAUAUACAAAGGUUGUAUCAAAGUCAAAAGGAAAGUCACAGGUGGGAACUUGGAGGUCAAAACCUAAUGCAGAGUUAAUUCAGCUAUUAACAUACGAAAACGGUGACCUAAAAGCCUAAAAUUGACUGUGUUAGGCAUGUUGAUUGUGAGCAUGGCAUUUUUGUGAAAGAAAAAUGUGCAAUAAAAUUUAUGGGUAACCUCAAUGAAAGCAGGCAACCAUAAGUGAAAGAAUAUGUCCCAUCCAAUGCCACUAAUCAAAUCAGAGACUUCAUCUCGAAUUCAUAGUUCAUUCAGUAUGUCAAGAUGAAGGGACUUACCUUCCAUGUAGGGGAGGGAGGAGAUAGCAUCAUAUUGGGUGCACUUAGUAAGCUUGUUGAAUAUUAGGGUUCACGAGGAGUCAUGGACAGGCAGGGAUGUGGGAAAAUCCUUACCAAAGUCAGGAGUGGUGUGAUCAUUAGAGGAUGUAGAAGAACUACUCGUUGUGAAUCUAUCGUGCACCUGACUAGAACGUCAGGUGGUAGGACACUGGAGAGAAGAUGCAGCAGUAGGCCAUUUCCGCCCGUGAGGAGAUAAGGAGGAGAAAGACUUCGAGGAUGUUCUGUAGUGGCUGGUGCUUGGUUCAACAAUCAGUGACCUAGGUGGGGCAUGCGGACGGCUCUAAUAGGUAAGCACAACAGGAGGUCGUGGCCAAAGGGUCAGUGAUGGUGGGGUAGACGGUGACUGGGCAAUAGUGGUGGUGUCCUCGAUUGGUGGUGGGUUGUUGAUUGGUUCGCUGUCACUGUCGUUGUACACACUUGUACUGGUCUUGGGAGGCCGAGACAACAACAAAGGUCAGGCCUAGUGAUGGCUACCAUCUUCUGUCAGACUAUGCUAUCAGCGAUAGUGAGGACCUGCAAUGUGAAAUUGAGAGAAAAGGCACUGAAAGUGAAAGUAAAAUAAAAUUAGGGUAAAAAGUGUAAUAAUAAAAAAAUUAAUCGGCGAUAAAAUAGGGUGAUCGAUUUUCC
This 3325-nucleotide long non-coding RNA is filed under the name Manihot esculenta (cassava). Its description in RNAcentral is "long non-coding RNA (MESC_LNC004910)". The record is from RNAcentral. Lineage: Eukaryota; Viridiplantae; Streptophyta; Magnoliopsida; Malpighiales; Euphorbiaceae.